This 1062-nucleotide ribosomal RNA is filed under the name uncultured eukaryote. RNAcentral's name for it is "SSU rRNA". It matches the Rfam family "Eukaryotic small subunit ribosomal RNA", at positions 583 to 1660 of the family's 1831-position model. The record is from RNAcentral.
UUCCAGCUCCAUGAGCAUGUACGUAAGUUGUUGCAGUUAAAAAGCUCGUAGUUGGAUCUCAGGCCGUGGUCAAUGGUCCGUCCGAUACGGAUGUGUACUGUUGUACCUGGUCUACGUCUGGUUCAACGUUCGUAGUGCCCUUAACCGGGUGCUGCGGAACGCCAGAAGGUUUACUCUGAAAAAAUUAGAGUGCUUAAAGCAAGCCGUUGUGCUUGAAUAUUGUUGCAUGGAAUAAUGGAAUAGGGCCUCGGAUCUAUUUUGUUGGUUUUCGGAGUCGAGGCAAUGAUUAACAGGGACAGACGGGGGCAUUCGUAUUGCGCCGUUAGAGGUGAAAUUCUUGGAUCGGCGCAAGACGAACAACUGCGAAAGCAUUUGCCAAGGAUGUUUUCAUUAAUCAAGAACGAAAGUCAGAGGUUCGAAGACGAUCAGAUACCGUCGUAGUCCUGACCAUAAACGAUGCCAACUGGCGAUCCGCCGUAGUCUAUUAUUAAGGACUCGGCGGGCAGCCUCCGGGAAACCUAAGUCUAUGGGUUCCGGGGGAAGUAUGGUUGCAAAGCUGAAACUUAAAGGAAUUGACGGAAGGGCACCACCAGGAGUGGAGCCUGCGGCUUAAUUUGACUCAACACGGGGAAACUCACCCGGCCAGGACACCGUUAGGAUUGACAGACUGAGAGCUCUUUCUCGAUUCGGUGGGUGGUGGUGCAUGGCCGUUCUUAGUUGGUGGAGUGAUUUGUCUGCUUGAUUGCGUAAAACGAACGAGACUCUAGCCUGCUAAAUAGAUUGGCGAUCUCAUAGGUCGACCAAACGCUUCUUAGAGGGACAAGUGACGUCUUAGUCACACGAAAUUGAGCAAUAACAGGUCUGUGAUGCCCUUAGAUGUCCGGGGCCGCACGCGCGCUACAAUGAGAGAGGCAAUGUGCCCACAACUCCUGACCCGAAAGGGUUGGGGAAUCAUGUUAAUUUCUCUCGUAAUAGGGAUCGAGCAUUGUAAUUAUUGCUCGUGAACGAGGAAUUCCUAGUAAGCGCGAGUCAUCAGCUUGCGUUGAUUACGUCCCUGCCCUU